Molecule: transfer RNA, 90 nt
Filed under: Bacillota bacterium
Lineage: Bacteria; Bacillati; Bacillota
Description: Firmicutes bacterium (anaerobic digester metagenome) tRNA-Ser
Rfam family: tRNA
About the family: Transfer RNA (tRNA) molecules are approximately 80 nucleotides in length. Their secondary structure includes four short double-helical elements and three loops (D, anti-codon, and T loops).
Source: RNAcentral
GGAGUGGUGACGGAGUGGGUGAACGUGGCGGUCUCGAAAUCCGUUAGGCGCGCAAGCGCCUCGUGGGGUCGAAUCCCACCCUCUCCGCCA